This 497-nucleotide ribosomal RNA is filed under the name uncultured bacterium. Its description in RNAcentral is "partial 16S ribosomal RNA". It matches the Rfam family "Bacterial small subunit ribosomal RNA", at positions 28 to 507 of the family's 1533-position model. The record is from RNAcentral.
GAUGAACGCUGGCGGCGUGCCUAAUACAUGCAAGUCGAGCGAACAGACGAGGAGCUUGCUCCUCUGACGUUAGCGGCGGACGGGUGAGUAACACGUGGAUAACCUACCUAUAAGACUGGGAUAACUUCGGGAAACCGGAGCUAAUACCGGAUAAUAUAUUGAACCGCAUGGUUCAGUAGUGAAAGACGGUUUUGCUGUCACUUAUAGAUGGAUCCGCGCCGCAUUAGCUAGUUGGUAAGGUAACAGCUUACCAAGGCAACGAUGCGUAGCCGACCUGAGAGGGUGAUCGGCCACACUGGAACUGAGACACGGUCCAGACUCCUACGGGAGGCAGCAGUAGGGAAUCUUCCGCAAUGGGCGAAAGCCUGACGGAGCAACGCCGCGUGAGUGAUGAAGGUCUUCGGAUCGUAAAACUCUGUUAUUAGGGAAGAACAAAUGUGUAAGUAACUAUGCACGUCUUGACGGUACCUAAUCAGAAAGCCACGGCUAACUACGUG